RNAcentral lists this ribosomal RNA (462 nucleotides) under uncultured bacterium. Its description in RNAcentral is "partial 16S ribosomal RNA". It matches the Rfam family "Bacterial small subunit ribosomal RNA", at positions 28 to 507 of the family's 1533-position model. The record is from RNAcentral.
GAUGAACGCUGACAGAAUGCUUAACACAUGCAAGUCAUUGGCGAAGCUGCGCUUGCGCAGUCUAGCCAAGGCGGACGGGUGAGUAACGCGUAAGGAACUUGCCCUGCCGACAGGGAUAACAGACGGAAACGACUGAUAACACCUGGUAUUGUCAGGCUGGCGCAUGCCGGCCUGAUGAAAGCAUACGCUGACGGUCAGCCUUGCGUCCUAUUAACUUGUUGGUGGGGUAGCGGCGCACCAAGGCGAUGAUAGGUAGCCGGCCUGAGAGGAUGAACGGCCACAAGGGGACUGAGAUACGACCCUUACUCCUACGGGAGGAAGCAGUGGGGAAGAUUGGACAAUGGUGGCAAGCCUGAUCCAGCAAUUCUGUGUGCACGAAGAAGGUUUUCGGAUUGUAAAGUGCUUUCAGCAGGGAAGAAGAAAGUGACGGUACCUUCAGAAGAAGCGACGGCUAAAUACGUG